This 643-nucleotide unclassified non-coding RNA is filed under the name uncultured Prochlorococcus sp. RNAcentral's name for it is "partial 16S-23S ribosomal RNA intergenic spacer; may also contain 16S ribosomal RNA and 23S ribosomal RNA". The stretch from base 302 to 374 matches the Rfam family "tRNA". The record is from RNAcentral. Lineage: Bacteria; Bacillati; Cyanobacteriota; Cyanophyceae; Synechococcales; Prochlorococcaceae.
UUGUGGAGGAGGACGCCGAAGGUGGGGCUAAUGACUGGGGUGAAGUCGUAACAAGGUAGCCGUACCGGAAGGUGCGGCUGGAUCACCUCCUAACAGGGAGACAACAAAAUGUUUAAUAUUAUUUUGUCACCUUAGGUCGAUCGGUAUCUCAUGUUUUUAAUUUAUUAAGAAUUUCAUUUCCUAAGUUUUUCUAGGUCACACCCAUUAUUUUUCCUGGGCCAUUAGCUCAGGUGGUUAGAGCGCACCCCUGAUAAGGGUGAGGUCCCUGGUUCAAGUCCAGGAUGGCCCAUAUCUCUAUGUUGGGGGUAUAGCUCAGUUGGUAGAGCGCCUGCUUUGCAAGCAGGAUGUCAGCGGUUCGAGUCCGCUUACCUCCACUGAUUACCACCUCUUCCAUAAUCUGUAGAAAGGAAAUGUAUUGAGUUGUGAUCAAAUUCUGAACGAAUCUAGCUUCCUAAUGAAAUCAUUAAGAUGCUGGACUCAUUGAAUUAAUUUCAUUGUUUUCAGAGAACCUUGACAACUGCAUAGAUUAUUUUUAAAGACAAUAAGCAUCUUUAAUGAUGCAGAUUUAUUAUUUGUGCGAAUGCAUUAAUAACAAUUCUAUUAAGCUGAUGCUUCAAUUUUGAAGUUAUUGGUCAAGCUACAA